This 253-nucleotide ribosomal RNA is filed under the name uncultured bacterium. Its description in RNAcentral is "partial 16S ribosomal RNA". It matches the Rfam family "Bacterial small subunit ribosomal RNA", at positions 524 to 776 of the family's 1533-position model. The record is from RNAcentral.
UACGUAGGGUGCAAGCGUUGUCCGGAUUUAUUGGGCGUAAAGAGCGUGUAGGCGGCCGCACAGGUCCGUUGUGAAAACUGGAGGCUUAACCUCCAGACGUCGAUGGAAACCGUGCGGCUAGAGUCCGGAAGAGGAGAAUGGAAUUCCUGGUGUAGCGGUGAAAUGCGCAGAUAUCAGGAAGAACACCCGUGGCUAAGGCGGUUCUCUAGUACGGUACUGACGCUGAGACGCGAAAGCGUGGGGAGCGAACAGG